GACGAACGCUGGCGGCGUGCUUAACACAUGCAAGUCGAACGGAAAGGCCCUGCUUUUGUGGGGUGCUCUAGUGGCGAACGGGUGAGUAACACGUGAGUAACCUGCCCUUGACUUUGGGGUAACUUCAUGAAACUGGGGCUAAUACCGGCUAGGAGCUCCUGCUUCAGGGUGGGGGUUGGAAAGUUUCGGCGGUUGGGGAUGGACUCGCGGCUUAUCAGCUUGUUGGUGGGGUAGUGGCUUACCAAGGCUUUGACGGGUAGCAGGCCUGAGAGGGUGACCGGCCACAUUGGGACUGAGAUACGGCCCAGACUCCUACGGGAGGCAGCAGUGGGGUAUAUUGCACAAUGGGCGGAAGCCUGAUGCAGCAACGCCGCGUGCGGGAUGACGGCCUUCGGGUUGUAUACCGCUUUCGCCUGUGACGAAGCGUGAGUGACGGUAAUGGGUAAAGAAGCACCGGCUAACUACGUG
This 468-nucleotide ribosomal RNA is filed under the name uncultured bacterium. RNAcentral describes it as "partial 16S ribosomal RNA". It matches the Rfam family "Bacterial small subunit ribosomal RNA", at positions 28 to 507 of the family's 1533-position model. The record is from RNAcentral.